Molecule: ribosomal RNA, 497 nt
Filed under: uncultured bacterium
Lineage: Bacteria
Description: partial 16S ribosomal RNA
Rfam family: Bacterial small subunit ribosomal RNA
Source: RNAcentral
GAUGAACGCUGGCGGCGUGCCUAAUACAUGCAAGUCGAGCGAACAGACGAGGAGCUUGCUCCUCUGACGUUAGCGGCGGACGGGUGAGUAACACGUGGAUAACCUACCUAUAAGACUGGGAUAACUUCGGGAAACCGGAGCUAGUACCGGAUAAUAUAUUGAACCGCAUGGUUCAAUAGUGAAGGACGGUUUUGCUGUCACUUAUAGAUGGAUCCGCGCCGCAUUAGCUAGUUGGUAAGGUAACGGCUUACCAAGGCAACGAUGCGUAGCCGACCUGAGAGGGUGAUCGGCCACACUGGAACUGAGACACGGUCCAGACUCCUACGGGAGGCAGCAGUAGGGAAUCUUCCGCAAUGGGCGAAAGCCUGACGGAGCAACGCCGCGUGAGUGAUGAAGGUCUUCGGAUCGUAAAACUCUGUUAUUAGGGAAGAACAAAUGUGUAAGUAACUAUGCACGUCUUGACGGUACCUAAUCAGAAAGCCACGGCUAACUACGUG